This is a non-coding RNA of Macaca mulatta (Rhesus monkey), 769 nucleotides long. NCBI's taxonomy places the organism in Eukaryota, Metazoa, Chordata, Mammalia, Primates, Cercopithecidae. The record is from RefSeq and is a predicted model, not a curated record.
AACUACUUUUCAUGGACUGGAAUAGUUUAACACUGAUGAAGGCCUAAGUUAAGUUACUGAGAAGGACAAACUAUGAAUGGAUUUGGGAAGUACAGAGAAUGAGAUAAUGCCUCACAUGUGACCAGCAGACACAGGAUCUGAAACUUAAACAGACCAAAUACCUUGCCCAGAGCCACAUGUUCAGCAAGUGGUGGAUGCAAGACUUGGAUCCAGGCUGGUCUGUUUCCAGAGACUCAGCGUUCUUCACAGGCUCCUUGAAGGCCUUGGUGGAUGCCCCCAGACAGAUCUAUCUUGCUGUUACUGUCUUGUAGGAGUAAACUCUUCCUCCCACUUUCUUUCCUAGAGCAGUCACCUCUGUAGCCUCCCACCUUCAUAGCCUACUUUCACCGGCUUAUGCCCACAGUUCAUACCAACCCCAAGUGAGACUUUCUGUCCUUUGAGAAGGUUUCCCUGCUGCUGCCCUCCAAACCCAGGUAAGGCUCUCUGCCCUCUGGGAAGCUUUGCCUGCUGCUGUCCUCAUCCCCUCCCUGAGUCUGGAUCUGUCCUGAGUGCUCAAAAGCACCCUAGGCAUACUUGGUUCCAGGACUCACGCUCUCCUGGAGUUACCUGUUUACUAUUUGUCUUCCUUCCCCUACAUCUCCAGGGCUCUGCCACAUACGCUACGCAGCAGAGAUUGUUUUCUGUCUCCUAGUGCCUAGCUCAGUGCCUGGCACAGAACAGAUGCUCAAUAAAUGUUUGAUAGAUAGAUGAAUAAAGACUGACUUCAGAA